GACGAGCCUCACAAACGUUAUUCGGAAUUACUGGGCUUAAAGGGUGCGUAGGCGGCGUAGAAAGUUGGGUGUGAAAUCCCUCGGCUCAACCGAGGAACUGCGCCCAAAACUAUUAUGCUCGAGGGAGAUAGAGGAAUGCGGAACUUAGGGUGGAGCGGUGAAAUGCGUUGAUAUCCUAGGGAACACCGGUGGCGAAAGCGGCAUUCUGGAUCUCUUCUGACGCUGAUGCACGAAAGCGUGGGGAUCAAACAGG
Molecule: ribosomal RNA, 253 nt
Filed under: uncultured bacterium
Lineage: Bacteria
Description: partial 16S ribosomal RNA
Rfam family: Bacterial small subunit ribosomal RNA
Source: RNAcentral